AGCCCACGUCCUUAUGUUUCUUCUUCCUUUUACGCCCGACGAGAUUUUCAGAAAUUUAGUGUGUCGUUUCGAUCUCCAUAACGACUCAAAAUCAAUCAGAUAUUGACGGUUUAUUCUCCACAAAAGUUACAAAUUAAUGGCUCCAGUUAACCUUUACAGCUUCUUUACUUUAUAGUAUCAGUUUCCGUUUCGUACUCCUAUUAUAACAGUUCCAGUUUCAAACCUUCAAUCAUCCUUUUCACCUCGAUAUUUUGGAGAACCCAUCACCUCGAUCAUCACUGAAAGAUUUUUCAGAGAAUCAAAGACAACUUUAGCUUUUCGGUAUUACUAGCAACGACGAGGAUGGUGAGUACUUUCUUCGCCAACUGAAAUUAGAAGAUUCCUGCAGAUAGAGUCAUGAUGCAAUCAUGCAAAACGAUGGGUCUCUGAUAUUCAUAACUACGAUGAUAAACUCUCCAAGGCGGUUAAGCUGUUAGGGGUAUUCUCGAAGGAUUGAACACCAGCAAGCAGUUAUAGAGACUGCAAUGCUCAACGAGAAGAGUGUUAAGGGACCAUUAUAUAUUUUUACUGAUUUUUUUCUGUGUUAAUAGCUUCACUAUUGAUGUAUAUUCACAGAUGGAUUGACAUAUCAUAUAAAGUUUGACCCUGCCUCAAACUGAGAUUGUGUAAUGAAGGUGAGGACAAAAAAUCUUCAGAUACAAAAGAAACCUCAAAGUUGGGGAAAGACGGAAAGAGGUGGAUCUUGCUCAAUUCCUGCUUGAUGAUAUCAUGAGAAUGGGUUAACAUGAUGAGGCGUCAAAGCCUUGAACUCCGUAUCUCGGCAAACAUAGAGACAAAUCGGAUGAUCGUUCAAUAUCAAAGACAUCAGUCGUGGUCAUUUAGACAGAAGAAGUUUCAUAUCUGAUAGAAUGUCCACACCGAAGUUUCAUAUCUGAUAGCAGGAGCUUGUGUUUGGUCUCUCUCUGACAAUGAUGAUCUUGUUGAAGAGAUGACUAGGCGCUCAGCUCACAAGAAUAUUGCAGAGAAAUUCAAUGCAUCGAUGUUAAGGAAUCAGCUACAAUAUGUAAUAACAACAACCCCUGCGAGCUAGCAGAACCUGAGGAUGGCAAUGGUGAAACAGAUGUCGGCAAAAAAGUUAGGUUGAGAAGUUGUAACCACGGAGAGACUGCCAGGCCUGAUCACUCCACCAGAAGACCUAUGGCGGAAUUCCUCGGAAUACGAAAGAGUCACAAGAUUGUGUUUUCUGAUUUGGAGUUCGGUUCUAGAGUGUCGAGGAAUGAUUAUGUGUCUUCUUGCGGGAGCGAUUAUACUUGCGUUCAGAGCAUCAGAACGCUAUUGGAGCUAAGUUAAUGGACUUAAAAAAGUUAAGGGUGGAAGCUUGCGCACAUAACUACAUCUUCCACGAUUUUAAAGCAUCUGAAAUAGUAAUGUUUCGUCUUCACCUUAAGUCUUUAAUUUUCUUAUGUAACUUUGUACUUAAUGUACUAUUAUUAGAUCAAUCUUCAGUGUUGAAUAUAUAAGCAGGCAACGAUAUUUUCGUGAUAAAUUUUCUUUUUAAUUUUAAAUAUCGCAUUACACGUAAUAUAGUAGUAACCUGCAUAAAGUCUGAUUCUCCAUCUGAUUGGGUAUUUGAAUCUUACUGCUUUGUUUUCUAUCUGGUCUCGAGCACAAUAUCAUGUUUCUUGUGCAUGCAUGGGUCCAUGAAUGGCCUGCGUGAGUCUCAUGGUCCCAUUAUAUAUAUCCUUAUGUUCACUUUCCCAUUUUCUGCCAAUAGCUUCAUUUCCUGCUCAAAAAGAUAUACCCGCUGGCGCAUUACAAGAGAGAAGCACAAGUUCUAACUUCUAAGUGAGUUCUUCUUUGCUUACUCUUUUUUUUUUGAGAAAAUUAUUUACUUACCACUAGAAGAUCCACAUCGACUAAAGACAAUGAAACAUUGUGAGUGGAAUGGUUCACCGGGAAGGAGCUAGCUUCUCGAACAAUAGAGAAAAUCUUCAGAGCCAAGCUGGUGUAGAAACCGUUGUCAUAGUCAGCAGCUAUCAUAGAUCCCCUUCAUAUACUCGCUAUCCCCUAAAAAUGCAAAUCUUGAUCAUGAAUCUAGCAGUUCAAGCUCCUCGCUGCUACACACCACCAAACAGUUCACUGCCUCCCCUACACCGACAAACACACCAAUCUAAACACCUUUGGUGUUCGCAAGCUGGAAGAGAAGACAUGUAACCCCUAUAGGAGCACACUGAGACAUGUCCUCAGCGGUACCAGACAUGCAUGAGAGAAGAGACACCGCUACUACGAGGAAAAAUCGAGAAGAUGAGGGACUCUAGAUCCGCCACAUCAAACUGUUCCAAAUAAAAAUCUUAUAUCCGCAUAUGAAAAACAUAGAGGAGAAACGAAAGGAGAUGAAAUCAGACCUUCAUGGCUCUGGAAAUUUAUGAGCCAAAGGAUGACAUUCAGUGGAAAAUAUUUAUUUUUAGAGAGAGGCUUCUAGUGUCAUUUUCUUGUACUAGUAUAAAUCUAAAUACUACAUUAUCCAGGUUUGUGUCAUAAAAGAAUUAAUGUUCCUUAAAAAAAGAAAAAAAAAUAUUUUUGAAUUGAAAAUAAACUGAGGAUGUUGCGAUAAAAUAUUUCAUAGUAUUUGGAAAACAGAAUCAAAAAUUCCUUAAUUUUGUAAUGAGAAUGUCCGUGAAUAAACACAGUAGUUAAUGUAAUGUAAUUUUUUUUUUGGAAUUUUACAUAUAUAGGCUGAGUCAUCAUCCAUGUAAGCAAUGGAGUUUUAACACUGAUGCUCAGUCAGCAUUCACAAUAGCAAAAAGGAUUCAGACUAUACUAGUGGAAAAGACGAAGCACACGUGUCUAAGACUCGAACUCUCCGGAGCGGAUACAAUAUACGGGAAAGGCACUUGGCAUCACUGUCGUUUUGUUAUUUCCUUCAUUGAUGGCUCACCCCUUGGGUUUGCAAAUUGCAAUGGUAAAAAUCCUCUAACUUCACACCGCCAUUGGCUUUCGAGGGUUUGACGGAAAUGAAGCGACCGAGGAGGAGUGGCGGAGCGAGCGGCGCAGGAACCAACCGGUAUCGGGGUAUCUCUAACUCUCCGAGCAGUACUUAGGGUUUAAGCAGCCUGACUCGGUCUACAGUUUCUCUGAUGUUCUUGAGAGAUGUAAACAGGAAGAAGUUGCGAGCAAGGCAAGAUAUUUUGACAAGAUGAAAAGUGAAGCCGAGAAUUGCAGCUUAACGCAAGGUGAUAAACUCUGCAAUGAGAAAAAAUGGAGUUUGAGGGUGCAACUUAUACAAAGGCAUGUCCUUCAUUGCUUAAACUAGAAUGCUUGGCUUUUCUAGUCUGUGUUUUAGCACCUAUCUUAGUUGCUUUUUAAUGGCUGUGUACCUUCAAAGAAGGCAAUAACAAGAAGAAGCAGCAGAGCUCGUGGGAGGAAGAGAGCUGCACAAGAGAUUCCCCUGCCUUGAUAAUUUAGAUUUUGCAGAAGAAGAAUGGCUGAAGAACAACUUUACCAGCAGAUGUACCAGCUAGGAGAUGUGCUCAACGAAGCCACUGAUAGCUUGAUUUUUCAGGGUCUGAUCCAUGAACGACAUGUUCAACUCCUACAUGCUGCUGGAAUAUCUAGCUACACUUUGCUGAUAACCCAUAUGAGAGCCGGUUCUUAGUUUUUUUAGUUAAAAGUUAAGAGACGGAUUCUUAUAUUCCGCUAAGAAUCCCACCCUAAGAAUCCUCCAAUAAUCAUGCUCUUAGCUUCAGCCACACUCAACAUCAUAGUUGAAGAAACAGACCGCAUUAGGGAUUUGAGAACCGCUGAAAAGAACCUCCAGACUACUGCCUCCAACAUUGGGAAAACGGAUCAAAGGCACAAUUUGAACAAAAACAAGAAGAGAAUUGAGGAGCUGACUACCGCUCUCGCCUUGCGUCCAGACACUGCUGCCAACGUUGGUCAGAGAGCGCACUGGACGAGGGAGAAAGAGGCUUGUGAAACACGUGUAGCUAACAUGGAGCAGAACAACUGACCAACCCCCACGUAUGCAUUUCUAAAAAGAAUAUACGAUGCAUCUCUAGACUUUUAAGAAAAAUUCCUUCUAUGCAAAAUGUUGAGAAUGUUUUAGCUUUGUGAUUGUACGGUUCCAACAAGGUAUUUGCAUUGUGGGUUGUGGCUUGGAACCAUUCCCACUUGUGAAUCCGUUUUACAAGGAUUUAGACAUGAACCAUAUUUUUACAUUCUUUUUUUUCUUCUUAAAACAAGUUGAACAUAUAGUUUCAUACCCUCAAAUUUGAACAUGUAUCAAACCCAUGAUUCAGGUAUUAAAUAUCUAUGUUUCAAGAUUAAA
Molecule: long non-coding RNA, 4327 nt
Organism: Brassica napus (rape)
Lineage: Eukaryota; Viridiplantae; Streptophyta; Magnoliopsida; Brassicales; Brassicaceae
Exons: 9
Source: RefSeq, a predicted model, not a curated record